Molecule: ribosomal RNA, 95 nt
Filed under: Escherichia coli
Lineage: Bacteria; Pseudomonadati; Pseudomonadota; Gammaproteobacteria; Enterobacterales; Enterobacteriaceae
Also listed under: 5 other names
Source: RNAcentral
UGUGGUGGCGAUAGCGAGAAGGAUACACCUGUAACCAUGCCGAACACAGAAGUUAAGCUUCUUAGCGCCGAUUGUAGUGAGGGGUUGCCCCUUGU